GCACGUGGUGGGAGCGGCGGCGGGGAGGUAACUGGUGCCGGGCGCUGCGGCAGCAAUGGCCGGAAAAGCUCGGGGGCACGACCGGGAGCCGCAGGCCGCCUCACACGUGGGCUGCGCGGCCGCCGCGGACUGGCCGAGGCCCGGCGCGCCCGGCGUCGGGAAAGGGUCGGCGCAUCGGCCAGGGCGCGGAGACGCGGGCGGCGAACUCGGUUACCUCUGCUUGUUUCCGGACCACAUUGUCGGGGCUGAGCAGGUUUCCUAGGAGCAGGAGAAAACACAUUUGCCACUGAAGAUUUUGUAUGAUAUCAUCUUGUAGCCAAAGCAAAAGUUGUGGGAGGAAGCAGCAGAAGAUGAAGAUGAAAUAGGCUGGGGCUGAUUACAAAACACCAUGAAGCUUGAUGGAGAUACCUCUUACUGGGCCUCUCUGAAUCUGCUUCAUCAGAUGCGUGACAUAGCC
Nomascus leucogenys (northern white-cheeked gibbon) is the source of this 457-nucleotide long non-coding RNA. RefSeq lists it as uncharacterized. Lineage: Eukaryota; Metazoa; Chordata; Mammalia; Primates; Hylobatidae. The record is from RefSeq and is a predicted model, not a curated record. The transcript is spliced from 3 exons.